Molecule: long non-coding RNA, 1903 nt
Organism: Mus pahari (shrew mouse)
Lineage: Eukaryota; Metazoa; Chordata; Mammalia; Rodentia; Muridae
Exons: 5
Source: RefSeq, a predicted model, not a curated record
ACCGAAACCGAGCUAGGUGGAGCUGGGACGGGGCGGGGCGAGGCGGGGCGGAGCUGGGGAGCCGAGUCAGCCCGGUUUGUGUGUCUUUGGGAACCUUCCGGGUGGGGCUGCUGCGGACCUGGGACCGGGGCGGGAUAGGGUGAGGAUGGAGAUUGCUCGCGCGCUCCGGAUCCUUAUCUGCGCCGGUUGGGGUGUCCCGUGCUGGGCUUGGUAACCUUACUCUCUUUGCUCCUGCGCGGUAGGCUCGGCUGCUGGACUGCCUAGCAGUGCAUGCAGCACAGCAAUUAUCUGGCUCUCCUGCUGUGUCGCUCUUAAAUGCGUGUCUGGAGUUCCUCUGGCGAAUGGUGGGCUGUUUGUCUCAUUUCCUCUGAUGAGACACUUGAGGGAUCCUUGUUGAAAAGACCUCAGCAUCCCCCUUCUGACUGAGUAAAGAGGAAAAACCAUGGCGUCUGACCGCAACAAAUCAGGAAAACAAAUCUGAUUGGCUGCUGGCUUUUUUUCUCACAACCACCUUUGGUGAAUUUUGUGAAACACAGAUCUAUCACAUUCUUUAAAAAUCCUUUCCCUUCUACACGGGUAUCUGGUGUUUAAGGUUGAGUGUGUGUGUGUGUAUCUGUGCGUGUGUGUGUGUGUGUGUGUGUGUGUGUGUGUGUGUGUGUGUGUCUGGUGUUUGAGAUGGGUUUUUGGGUCCCUGUGUGGUAUAACUUAGGGCACACUACUAUUGAGGAACUAAUGGGAAGACGUUUCUAACUCUUCAUUUAUACAUUCUUGAAUAUAACCAUUUUUUCCUCUCAUCAGUUUUAACUGUUAAGGGAGAGUAACAGAUAUAUCCUUCAGAGGGUGGAAGGGUGGGUUCUUAGUGUACUUCAACAUCUAAAGGUCCCUGUGGUAAAUGGACUUCCCAGAUCUCCCCGCCCCUAAAAGCCCCUGACCUGAGUCACUUUUCCGGAGCAAGUCUCUUCCAGGGUAUUUCCUUGCAGGUGGCUGUUCCUAGGAAAGUCAUUUGUCCAGAUUCUUGGCCUUUGAUUCCUCCCCAAGACAGAGUGGCACUCUUAAGACCUCUGGCAUCAAGAUGGUCAUGACCUGAGCACCCAGGAAGGAAGACAGCUGGAGCCAGGUGGGGAGAUAAACAGGGUUCUGGAAAGGCCUCCCGACUACAGUAAGGGAUCAGACUCAGAUUCGUCCAGUGGUCCAACACAGGCUCAGUCUGGCUAUCUGGGCAUCUAGAAUUUUCCCCGAUGAAAUCUGCAAGAAACUGCAGGGGGAAAGUUUGAAACUGCAGAGACCCCAGAGAUGGCGGAGGAAGGAGCUGGGUCUGACUGACCUCAUCUGGUGGCCACUGUGAAUUGUAAUUUGAAAGGAAUCAACCAGAAGCACCUUCUUUCCAUCAUCGCUAGCUGGGGAACUACCCCAGGACCUACCCCUGAUUCUCUGGAGAGCUUGUGUGGGGUUUGCGAUGGAUGUUAUGCUAAUUGUGCUUGAAAGACACCAAGUGAAGAGGAAAUCGAAACCAAUAGAGAAAACUCGUGUGAAAUCUGGAACAUUCACCACACCAGGAUCUUAAAGUCUGGGGUUUUAAGGAUGCAUAGGAGCCAAGAUGUGAGAAUGUGACCAGAAGUUGGAGAAAAGAUGCCCAUAUCAAAUAAGUACCGAAAAGAUGAGGAAAAGGAAGUUGAUUUCCAGGAAAGAAAAAUGAAUAAUCUGGGGAGCUGAAGAAAUAACUUAUUGGUUAAGAGCAUGUGUUGCUUUUCCGGAGAACUCAGGUUUAAUCUCUAGCACCUCCAUGGUAGCUCACAACCAUCUAUCUAUAACUGCUAUCCGAGAAUAUCUAAUUCCCUCUCUUAGCCUCUGCAGGCAAUGAAUGCACGUCACCCAUUAAUGCAGGUAACACACCCCCACAAAA